GCACAGAGAAUGCUACUGAAGGCUUUAAAGUUCCCCAGCCUUGCCAAGCGCUUGUCCAAGGAGUCAUAAACAAGAAGGCCAAGGAGGCUGGCUGUCACAAGAGGACAGAGCUCACAGCCCCCUGCGACUGGCUCUGGCCAAAGGGGCUCGCUCCCUAGUCACAGGCUCCAGUUGUGGUGAGCUGAGACUCGUCCCUAGCCCCUCUGCAGCUUCCACUGGCUUGUUUUCCAGAAACGAGAUACGCAUUUGCAAAGCCAAACAGACUCUGGCAAGGACAACUCAAAAUUAGCUCCGCGUUUGUGAGCCUGGAACCCGGUCCAGCUGAGGGCACGGGAAGGCAGCCCAACCCCGGACGUUUUUCCGGCUGCUGCCGAGGCCCCUUUGCAGGCUUUGCCCCGGCUGCAUGCACAGUGCAGCCGCCCGUGACCCGGGAGCCCCAAGCCGUGGAGCACGCGCAGAGAGGGGUUGCCUACCCUACCGGAUCGGCGUGGCGGCUCAUGCUGCGGCGUCCGGGUGCCUCGCUCCAGCCAGGGCGCUGCGGACACAGCCUGGGCUGCGGGCCGGGGACCUGGGAGCUAAGCCCGGCACUGCCGGCUCCUGACUGCGCUUGUUUGCGCUGGACCGUUUGUUUUUGGGAUUUCUCCAAAGCAGAUGGAGUCAGGGGGCCCCCGCUAUCCCCGGGGGACAGUGAUUCCAUUGGAAGCUGGCCUUUGACAGGACACACACAUGACCUUUGACUAAAAUGGCUUUAGGGAAGGAAAAGUGUCCGGACGUUGAAGACCCAGCGUCCAAGCACCGCCAUUCACACUUCCACCCCCAACCGCGCUGGGUUAAUUUUUCAUCUUUCAAGCAGAGCCUGUGAAGUUUGGUGUGCAUUUCCCCUUCUUUCUCUAGGAUUCGUUCCUGUUUCCUGAAGAGCCUGCGGCAGGACUUUCCUGUUGUGAUGUCGGGGGAUCUCUAGACUAGCAUUUGCAGGUCCUUCAAGAUGAUAAGGUCCGGAGAGAGAGAUCGACGACAGAGGGCUUGCAUCACACAUGGGAACAUGGGAAGGCUCAAUUGCAAGUAGUUCCAAGUAACGGAAGAAAUAAAAGGUCCAAUUCCUCAUUUAGCCAGGCAUGGAAGAUUGCCACUAGUUUGAGGCCAGUCUGGGUUACAGAGUGAGACCUUGUCUCAAAAACAAACAAGAAACAUGAACCCAGACGGGCAGGAACUAUGGACUUGUGGAAGGAGCCCUGGUCAAGCAUUCAGCAGCUCCACACGGUUCAGUGCCAUCAGAAGUGCCAUAAAGAUCUGCAAAGACGAGAUGCCCCCAUGUUCUCGUUUUCAUCGGCUUGGAGAAGGACUCAAGUGAUAGUGACCCUCAGCUUUGAAGGACUUGAAGGAGUUAGGCAGGAAGAGAAAAGGAGGAAAGACAUGCCACCCCCACCCCCCAGACAGCCCUGAACACAAAAGCUGCCCUGCUGCACUCAGAGAACUGAAAACAGUUGAACCCAGCAGGAGCGCUUGGUGUGGGAGCCUGUGUCCACAGAAGAGAGUGUGGGUUUGGACUCUGACCCGCCUCGUGAGUCACGGUAGGAAACUUGGACUUCAUCCCGCAAGGCCAAUGAGUUGACAGAACUAGCCCCGGGUUAUCAGCCCACAAGAAAAGGAUGCAGGAGUCAAAUGUUGUUAUACAACCAGAAUAAUAUUUAUAUCAGUGUGAGGCUUAAGCUUGACUGGCUACAUGCAGUUGCUUUCUUCUUCUUCUUCUUCUUCUUCUUCUUCUUCUUCUUCUUCUUCUUCUUCUUCUUCUUCUUCUUCUUCUUCUUCUUCCUCUUUUUUUUUCUAGUCAGAAAAAUGUAAGCAAUGUGUUUAACUUCAGCAAGCCUCAAGUGUGUCCCCCGCCCCCCCCCCCCCCCCCACCAAUAAGAAGGGAUCAUGGAGUAUGCCAUGAGGGUAAAAUGAAAUGGUGUAAGUAAAACCCUUAGCCUUUCUUCAGGGAGAGUCUACAAAAUGGCAAGUGGCUACUGUUGCAUUGUAAAGCUUUCUGGUUUGCAUAGUGCAUGACUACAGAGGAACUAGGAAAUCUCCCCACCCUUUCUCCCCCGUCUUCUAGCUCUGGGCUCAUUGGAUAUUUGUGGCCUCUCUCCCUUCUCUCCUUAUCAUUGAGCCCCCUCUUGACUUCCUUGUCAGUUUGUCCCUUUCCUCAAGCUACCCACCCACCCCAGGCCCCUGUGAGCCACCCACCUGGGAUGCUAACUGCUAGACAUCUAUACUAUCCCACAGCCAGGGCUGUUGCCACUGCCAUGGUUACAUGGUAUCCAACCUUGUCUGGGUGUGCAAACCUACUGCAGGCCUUGCAAGUUGGAGCCAUUUGCAUCUAGCCAUCUUUCGUGAAAAAGCCUCCACUUCUCCAGCAAAGUCCAGAGCUAUUUGAAGGAGAUGUUCUUCUUGUACCUGCUCUGUUCUCACCUUCUCUGUGGCUCAGAGGUGCCUCUCUUGUAUUUGUGAACUCAUUGCUCAUUUUCUCAGAAACAUUCGGCAACCCCUCCCUUUCAAUUUCUCCUCUAUUGAUUACAUUGAUAACACGACCAUUAAAUGCAACUCAGUAUUCUUGAUGCUGAACAUACAGGAAUCAAUACACUAUCACUCCACAGAAAGAAGCACAUUCAAGCACUGUACAUGUACUGGACUCUUUUUUCAUAAUUUGUUGUCCUUUUCAUAUCAUUUGCCCCAUGUAGGCCUGGAUUAUUUUUAAAAAGAAAGAAACAUACUAGUAUUUUAUAUGCAAAGUUAUAAAUAAAAUUAAAUUGACUAUGUUGUAAUGAAAUAAAAAUCUAAAUAUAAUACAAAGUAAAAAUUUGAAUCUAGCAAUAUAAUAAAUAAUGUAAAGACAUUGAGUAGAAAAAAGUGGGGAAAACUAAUUGAAACCAAAUACUUACUCAACCUAUGCUCACUGCAGACAGAAAGCACACAGACAAAUCACAUACUCUACUAAAUAAAGUGUCUUUCUCAGUGACGUAGGUGUAGGAAUUCUGACUCGAGUUUUUCUAUAAUAUUGAGCAAACAAGUCAAUAUAUUUUUUGUUGUCACUUUUUUUAUUUUCAAGUCAGAUUUCAUUAAUAUAGUCUUAUUAUAAAAUUAGAUAUGUGUUUCUAAACCUGACAGUUCAUCUUCAGAAUUUUUUUGUCUUUUGUUUGUUUUCUUUUCCAAAAAAAUUGGAUAUUUUCUUUAUUUACAUUUCAAAUGUUUUCCCCUUUCCAGGGCUCUUCUUCAGAAACUCCCUAUCUCGUGCUCCCCUAGCCACCUACUCCUGUCUUCCUGCCCUGGCAUUCCGCUAUACUGGGGCAUCAAAAACCCUCAGGCUCAAGGGCCACUUCUCCCACUGAUGUCCAACAAGGCCAUCCUCUGCCACAUAUGUGGCCAGAGCCAUGGGUCCCUCCAUGUACUCUUUGGUUGGUGGUCCAGUCCCCAGGAGUUCCAGAAGGCCUAGCCUGUUGACACUGUUGCUCCCUGCAUGGGGCUGCAAAGACCCUUCAGUGCCUUCUCCAACUCCUCCUCGGGGACUUCGGGCUCAGUCCAAUGGUGGCUUCGAGCAUCCACCUCUGUAUUUGUCAGGCUCUGGCAGAGCCUCUCAGGAGACAGGCUUCCAUCAGCAAGCACUUCCCAGCAUCCACAUAGCAUUCAGGCUUGGCAACUGUAUAUGGGAUGGAUUCCCAGGUGGGGCAGUCUCUGGAUGGCCUUUCUGUCAGUCUCUGCUACACAUUUUGCCUCCAUAUUUCCUCCUGUGAGUAUUUUGUUCCCCUUCUAAGAAGCACUGAAGCAUCUACACUUUGGUCUUUCUUCUUCUUGGGCUUCAUAUGGUCUGUGAAUUGUAUCUUGGGUAUUCUGAACUUUUGGGCUAAUAUCCACUUAUCAAUGAAUGCAUACCAUGAGUGUUCUUUUGUGACUGAGUUACCUCUCUCAGGAUGAUAUUUUCAAGUUCCAUCCAUUUGCUAACGAAUUUCAUGAAGUCAUUGUUUUUAAUAGCUGAGUAGUAUUCCAUUGUGUAAAUGUACCACAUUUUCUGUAUCCAUUCCUCUGUUGAGGGACAUCUGGGUCCUUUCCAGCUUCUGGCUAUUAUAAAUAAGUGAACAUAGUAGAGCAUGUGUUCUUAUACAUGUUGAAACAUCUUCUGGAUUAUAUACCCAGAAGUGGUAUAGCUGGGUCCUCAGGUAGUACUAUGUCCAAUUUUUUUAAUUAAUUGUUUUUAUUAGAUGUUUUCUUCAUUUACAUUUCAAAUGCUAUCCCCUUUCCUAGUUUCCUCUCUAGAAGUCCCCUAUACCCUCCCCCCUCCACCUGCUCCCCAACCCACCCACUCCCACUUCCUGGCCCUGACAUUCCCCUAUACUGGGGCAUAGAAUCUUCGCAAAACCAAGGGACUCUCCUCCCAUUGAUGACCAACUAGGCCAUCUUCCGCUACAUAUGCAGCUAGUGACACGAGCUCUGGGGGUAUUGGUUAGUUCAUAUUGUUGUUCCUCCUACAGGGCUGCAGACCCCUUCAGCUCCUUGGGUACUUUCUCUAGCUCCUUCAUUGGGGACCCUGUGUUCCAUCCAAUAGAUGACUGUGAGCAUCCACCUCUGUAUUUGCCAGGCACUGGCAUAGCCUCACAGAAGACAGCUAUAUCAGGGUCCUGUCAGCAAAAUCUUGUUGAUACAUGCAAUAAUGUCUGGGUUUGGUGGUUGUUUAUGGGAUGGAUUCCGGGGGUGGGGGGGGGGCAGUCUCUGGAUGGUCCUUCCUUCGGUCUCACCUUCAAACCUUGCCUCUCUAAAUCCUUCCAUGGGUAUUUUGUUCCCCUUUCUAAGAAGGAUUGAAGUAUCCACACUUUGGUCUUCCUUCUUCUUGAGUUUCAUGAGUUUUGCAAAUUCUAUCUUGGGUAUUCUAAGUUUCUGGGCAAAUACUCACUUAUCAGUGAGUACAUAUCAUGUGAGUUCUUUUGUGAUUGGGUUACCUCACUUAGGAUGAUAUCCUCUAGAUCCAUCCAUUUGUCUGAGAAUUUCAUAAAUUCAUUUGUUUUUUUUUUUUUUUUGGCUUUUGGUUUUUGGUUUGUUUUUUUGGUUUGUUUUGUUUUUUUGGGUUUUGUGUUGUUGGGUUUUUUGUGUGUUUUUGUUGUUGUUGUUGUUGUUUUGUUUGUUUUGUUUUUUGAGUUUUUUGAGACUGGGUUUCUCUCUGUAGCCCUGGCUGUCCUGGAACUCACUCUGUAGAUCAGGCUGGCCUCAAACUCAGAAAUCCACCUGCCUCUGCCUCCCAAGUGCUGGGAUUAAAGGCAUGCACCACCACUACCGGGCCCAAUUCAUUGUUUUUAAUAGCUGAAUAGUACUCCAUUGUGUAAAUGUACCACAUUUUCUGUAUCCAUUCUUCUGGUGAGGAACAUCUGGGUUCUUUCCAGCUUCUGGCUAUUAUAAAUAAGGCUGCUAUGAACAUAGUGGAUCAUGUGUUCUUAUUACCAGUUGGAACGUCUUUUGGGUAUAUGCCCAGGAGUGGCAUAGCUGUGUCCUCAGGUAGUACUAUGUCCAAUUUUUUAAAAAAGACUUAUUUAUUUAUUUAUUUAUUGUAUAUGAGUACACCAUUGCUCUCUUCAGACACACCAGAAGAAGGCAUCAGAUCACAUUACAGAUGAUUGUGAGCCAGAAUGUGGUUGCUGGGAAUUGAACUCAGGACCUCUGGAAGAGCAGUCAAUGCCCUUAACCGCUAAGCCAUCUGUCCAGCCCUAGACUUUUUAAAACCGUAGUUUUAACAAGGGUUUUCAAUGCUUCAACCCCCUCUUAUAGCCCACCAUCCAAAGGUAGGGGAGAAAGGAUGAUAAACAGGACAGGGAGAAGCAGAUCUGUUUAGAAGUUAUUCUUUGGAGUGAUUCCAAUCUCCGUUUGUCAAGACACCAGUAGUCCACUUCAGUAGUGUCAGGAUAGCAAACAUGAAUCAGUAUCGGUGGCACGAUCCAGCAGAAACCACCAGGCCUCUGCUGAGUCGCCACAAUUCGGUGGGAACAACCAGGACACCAGGAAAAGGUCUCUCAACUUGCCUGUCUCAAGGAAGUGAAGAUCAUCAAAGACUCAAGACCAACAAAGUGUUGCAAGGCUAGAUAUGCAAGCGCCCCAUCACUAUCCAUUGAGUAUCCAUAUACUCUCUCCAAACAUCACGUGUCCUCCCAUCAGGCUUGCCUCAGCAAAACACCAGGUGAGUCUGCAUCACAUGACAUCUCCUGAAACUUCCACUUGAACCCCAUGUCAUUGAGGAGCUUCUUACUUAUCUUCUAUUGUUCCCACUAUCUCGUCCUUGAAACAACAACAAUGCAUGCAUGUAUGAGUGUGAACACAUGCUGCUAGGAACAUGCACACACCUCUCUCACACACACAGGAAGAAAGGGGUCCACAAACACACAACACACACACACACACACACACACACACACACACACACACACACGAAGAGAAUUCCAAGGCCAGUUCUUCCUCAGGCUUCAGAGCUUGUUGUCACCUCCUCAAAGAGACUUUGCCUACACAGCCCAUCUAGGGAGCUUUGUGACUGGAUAUUGGUUCACCUUUAUUGUUGUUUUCAGAUCACCUGUUCCCAUGCCAUGAUGAGAGUCUCUCUGUUCUUGGGCCUUGCUCACUUUCUGUUGUUUCCUCUAAUCUGAACCUAAUGGAAUCUGAGACCCUUGUCCUGUUCAGUACUAUAUCAUAUCCUCAGUUCCCAUGAUUUUCCUUGUAGGUUUUUAGAGUCAGAGUCACUUGUGGCCCGGGCUGACCUCAAACUAAAAAUGUUGCCAAGGAUGUUCUUGAACUUCUUGUUCUCCUACCUCUACCUCCUGGCUGCUGGGAUUACAGGUGUGUGGUGCCAUGCAAGUUUAGAAAGCAUUGUUGAUUAUAUACCCUUAAAGUUGAGAACCAUUUUUGCUCUUUAAAAUUUGUUUCUUAAUGGAAAAUGUAAGUCUAUCUUCCUUUCCAAGAGGAAUCUUCAACAGAUUCCUGGACUCAUCUCUAGAGAAGAGAAAACACACACACACACACACACACACACACACACACACACACACACACACACACAGGACAGAUGGAAGAAAUCCAAAAGAAAAGAACCCAACAUGUUUAAAUUUCAAUGGACCACUGAAGCAUCUCUCCACUGAAGCAUCUCUGGCUGAGAGUACAGCCAAAAGGAAUCAAAAAUUGUACAUUAGAAAAGUACCGUGAGACCAAGCUUACAUGGCUGCCAAUGAGUCAAAAAAGGCUAAGCAGGCAGCUAAGCAUAUACCAAAUGACAGCACCUAAGAAGAUACUGUGAUGCCUGAGUGGGAGGAAAAUGCUUGCUAAAUAGAUAGAUCAGUUUCUAAAAUAACCAUAGGCAUUGGUUAUUCUAAAAAUGGAAAAAAAAACCCAAAUAAACAAAUCCUGAUACCAAAAACACCAAGGACAGUUAUCUAUGGGUUAAAUUCCGGGUGGUUCUAAAAGCUAUGCUUGAAAAUGAUUCACCUCAUCUCUUCAUGACACAGAGCUCAGCCCCAAAGAGAAAUAAGUAAUAUCCCCAGUGUCUACUUAAUUCUCAAUCGUUUUCUUCUUGGUCCUGCCACACAUGAUGGACCUUCCCAGCAUGCAGAUGAAGACCUGUUUUCUCAUUUCUCUAAGUUUUCACCGGCUCUUAUCCCCAUCCCCAACACUCAUAUCUGGCUCAACUACCUCAUGGAUGGUUCCCAAUCUCCCCAAUGCUGCAACCAUUUAAUACAGCUCCCCAUAUUGUAGUGACCCUCAUCCAUAAACCUAUCUCCAUUUUGCUACUUCAUAACUCUAAUUUACUGCUAUGAAUCCAAAUAUAAAUAUCUGUGUUUUCCAAUGGUCUUUGGGAUUUGGGACCCACAAGUUGAGAAUCACUGGUCUAGGGCCUUUCCCCACUCAACUCCCAUGAGUUUGGGCUCAAAACAGCCUCCUCUGCUAGGCUGGGGCCCAGCCCAUUCUCUGCUUGCACACAGCAUACCCCACUGGCUUUUUUCUCCUCCUGAGUCCUGAUGGUUCCUGACUGAGCAAUUCCUCCAUUGUAUCUCAUGGCCAACUGACCGCCCAGCCAGAAAAUUGAAUUAAUAAAUUAAUAAAGCAAUGUUCUAAAUGAUCUUUUUAGAGAGAUGGUCUGCUUUAGUUUUUAGUUUUUAUUUGAUUUUUAAAACUUUAUUGGGGUGUACUCUUGAUAUGCAAUUCACUGAUUUAAACUGUGCAUGUCAAUGACUUGGGAAUGUUUAAAUAGGUGCAC
RNAcentral lists this long non-coding RNA (8257 nucleotides) under Mus musculus (house mouse). RNAcentral's name for it is "predicted gene, 26684". Lineage: Eukaryota; Metazoa; Chordata; Mammalia; Rodentia; Muridae. The record is from RNAcentral.